RNAcentral lists this long non-coding RNA (8859 nucleotides) under Sorghum bicolor (sorghum). RNAcentral's name for it is "long non-coding RNA (SBIC_LNC015283)". The record is from RNAcentral. Lineage: Eukaryota; Viridiplantae; Streptophyta; Magnoliopsida; Poales; Poaceae.
GAGACAUGCAGCAGCAGAAGCAGCUAGCUAGCUUUAUCAGCCGACAUGGGGCGUCUGGGCGACUGUGUCGACGAAGAUCCGGACGCGGUUGGUGCGGUAAUCCAUGGUCACCGGCGAGCCGACGGGCAGCACGACGAUGUCGGCGUCGGGCUUGUCCUUGAGGAUCACUUUCUUGGCUUCCUCCACGCUCUUCCCGACCACCUCCGGCCACGACGUCUUGGCGCCGCCGCACUCUGGUGCCGCCGUCGCCGUGGAGCUCAUGGUCGGCGGUUGUCGGUCGCGAAUUGAAACUGCAAAUCAGUUGAUGACAGAUAUGAUGCUCUGGCCUGUGAAUUAAAAGGAAACUAACAAACUACUGAUAACUACUGUAUUAGUAUUGCAAAAAGCUAGCCAAAAGCGUAAGGUAUGUAUGUAUUUGAAAGGCAGGGGCAGGCACACUCACGGGCAAGUGUGGCUUUGUUAUUGUGCUUCUUAUGCUGCUGAUUAAACGAGUAUGCACUGGUGAGGUAUUUAUAGAGCUGCUGCAACCUAGCUACUGGCACAGGAUGCGUGUGUGUUCAUCAGGAUUAUUAUUUGGUCUAAAGCUAGCUAGGCAAAUAUUAGGCCUUGUUUAGUUCACCCAAAAAACCAAAAACUUUUCAAAAUUCUCCGUCACAUCGAAUCUUGCAGCACAUGCAUAAAGCAUUAAAUAUAGUCAAAAAUAAAAAUUAAUUACACAGUUUGUCUGUAAAUCGUGAGAUGAAUCUUUUUAUUCUAGUUAGUUCGUAAUUGGACGAAAUUGCUACAGGGCUCCAAACCAAAAAAAUUUGGAAACUAAACAAGGCCUUAAACAAAAAGGAGAAAGGAUAAUGUGUUGAUGGUGGCAAGAAAUCGUAGCCGCUCCGCCGCUCAACAAUAAUGCGUGCAUAUAUUAUAUAUAUAUACGCACGAGGCACACGAGGUGGCCCCGGCCAGUAAUAAAAAACAAGAAAAGAAAAAGAUAGCAACGAUACAGAAACAUGCAUCCAUAUGGUUUUUCCUCGCUUGCAACCAAAUAGUGAGCAGAGCUUCAGUACGAGCAGCUGGCACUGAUGUACAGAAACUUGGCAAUUAGUGAAUAACGUCUUUUUCGUUAUAUUCUUCUCCUCUCAUCGAUCGUCGCGGCAACUAGAUAGUCUCGGACCUUUAGCUACAUAUAAUUGCUCCUGCUAAAUUAUUACAAGAUCUAUCCUAGAGAGCUCUCGAGAGAUUACUCAGUUAACCUACAUUUGGAGAAACCAAGUAAUGGGUUAAUUCGACUCUCCAUGGGACCGACUAAUUUUUUCUGAAUUUAACAUUGUUGUGUAGACGCUCGUCGACAGCGAGACAACUAUGAUAAAUUCAUCAAUCUCAAAGAUUUAUCGGUCUAGUCUUCGAAAAAGUUCAUAGAGUCAGGUUUACAUGCUUACAUUCAUAAGAUGAGUAUACUGUGUUGUACCGUUUGUAACUUUAAAAAAAUAACCGACCACUAUUGGUACAUGGUGGAUCUAUAUGCACCGAUCACUUAAACUGUCUUGUUCAUUGACCCCGAAUGCUAAGAUUUUUUUUUAUUGGAAAAGGUACUGCACGGCGGCAGAAUUUUUCUUCCAUAACAAAUGAAGCUUCUAUUAACUUUUUUUAAUGAAAGUUACAAUAAUUAACUUUCAACAUCACUGUGAAGGACCUGCUCAUGGGUUGUCUUUUGGGCCGCUCAAAACACGCGAAGGAUUAUGCACUAGCCACUGGGCUUCCUUUGGCCCACAGAACUAAUAAGCAGCAGCGUGGCGGGCGGGUACCAGAAUCCCAACUCUCGGGUAGCUGCUGUUACGGAUAUUUUCCGGGGUGAUCUCAUCUCCUCGGAUUCCCUUUACGGGAGAUCUAUCCUAACUACGACUUCCCCACGACGGCCUACGGGAUAUCACCCACGACUACGCACGUACCCGUGGAGACCGGUUCCACCUCCGUGAUAUCACCCACGACUCAUCGUGGGCACGAGUUUACUUGGGGCGAGAGUUUCCUCUCCCCCCGACUGUAUAAAUACCCGUGAUCAAUGAAUAAACAGACACCCCGAGUUCAUUCUAUUCCUCUCUGUUCUCGUACUCUCGCUUUCUACUCGUAACACGUUAUCAGCACAUCGCUCUCCCCUACCCCAGAGAGGAAUAGCUCGGUUGGAUAGAACAUCGUCGAGGGAUCGACCUUCGCCCAGGGCAUCACCCCAAGAUUGUACGGGAGUCAAUCCGAUGGAUGAGGAAAUGUGCCUAGUGGACAGUGGCACCACUAACUCUAUACUCAGGGAAAUAAAAUAUUUCCAAACUCUCACAAAGAGCAAAGAAAAUGUUUUAACAAUCGCUGGACGCGAUGCCGUAAUAGCAGGCUCUGGUAGAGCCAUUAUUACGCUCCCUAUGGGUACAACGAUUACAAUCGAGGAUGCACUUCUGUAUCCUGAUUCAACUCGUACCUUAUUGAGUUAUAGAGAUAUCCGCAAAAAUGGGUAUCAUAUCGAAACCCAUCACCAAAAUAAUGAGGAGUUCCUCCUCAUUACAAAGGAUAACGGAUAUGGCAGAGAUACUCUCGAAAGAAUUCCCUCCACUUCGUCUGGAUUGUACUAUUCAUACAUAAAACCUGUACAACAUGUUGCGUACAAAGUAAUUUUUCAGAAUGUCAAUGCAUUCCAAACUUGGCAUGAUCGCCUUGGUCACCCUGGCAUAGGGAUGAUGAGAAAAAUUACUAGCAAUUCUGUUGGUCACUCGCUAACCAAUGUAAAAUUUCCCCAAUCCUCGGAUUAUACUUGCACUGCAUGUGCAACAGGGAAAUUAAUUUUGAGGCCCUCUUCCCUCAAAAUCAAAGUUGAACCACUCAACUUCCUUGAACGCAUUCAAGGGGACAUAUGUGGCCCGAUAAAUCCUUUAUCGGGACCGUUCAGGUACUUCAUGGUUCUAAUAGACGCAUCCACACGAUGGUCUCAUGUGUCUCUUCUAUCGACACGAAACCAUGCUUUUGCCAAAAUAAUUGCGCAAGUUAUCAAACUCAAAGCGCAACAUCCUGAACAUCAAAUAAAAUCCAUUAGGAUGGAUAACGCUGCUGAAUUUUCCUCUCGAGCCUUCAAUGAUUAUUGUAUGGCCUUAGGAAUACAAGUACAGCAUUCUGUCCCAUAUGUCCAUACACAAAAUGGGUUAGCCGAGUCUCUCAUCAAGAGAAUCAAGCUCAUCGCUAGACCGCUACUGCAGAAUUGCAAUCUACCAACCCCAUGUUGGGGUCAUGCAGUCUUACACGCUGCUGAACUGAUUCAAUUGCGACCAACUGCAUACCAUGCAACGUCCCCGUUGCAACUAGUACAUGGAAAUCCCCCAAGCAUUUCCCAUCUGCGAAAGUUCGGUUGCGCUACAUACGUACCGAUCUCACCACCGAAGCGUACAACAAUGGGCCUCCAUAGAAAAUUGGGGAUCUAUGUGGGAUACAAAUCUCCGUCGAUUAUAAAGUAUCUAGAGCCCACCACAGGGGACCUCUUUACGGCCCGGUAUGCCGAUUGUAUCUUCAAUGAAGAUCAUUUUCCGGUAUUAGGGGGAGACUUACCACAUCACAAACAAUGCCAGGAAAUCAAUUGGGAUGCCCCAGACAUUCCCAACUCAGAUCCACGUACUUCAGAAUCUGAACUCCAAGUUCAGAAAAUCAUAAAUUUGCAACACAUUGCAAAUAACGUGCCAGACGCAUUUACUGAUUAUAAGGGUGUUACAAAAUCCUAUAAUCCAGCGAGAAAUGUACCGGAAAGAGUAGAGGUACCAAACAAAACUACUCAACUCCCUAGUAAGAGGGGGAGAAGUACGGCUAUCUCCACGGAUACAGCUUCUAGCAAGCAAAGGAAACGGAAGACAAAAUCUUCUGAUCCAGUAAAUGCAGCUCAACCUCAUGUUGAGGAACACCCAGUGGAGGUUCAACCUUCACAUCCCACAUCAACAGUGCACUCAAUUACUGAUGCUGGGACAUCGGAAUACCCUGAUGCGACCAUCUUGGGAAAUGAUGAUGCAUCGGAAAGGGUCCAUGAAAUUUCCAUCAACUAUGCAGAAACUGGAGAGUCAUUUGAUAGAAAGACUACAAUUGUCGACUCAUAUUUCUCCGCAAUGAUUGCCGAAAUCCUUGAAAAUGAUCCAGAUCCUAAGACCAUGGCAGAGUGCAAAACGCGCUCGGACUGGAACCAAUGGAAGGAUGCAAUCCAAGCAGAAAUAUCCUCGCUCACAAAAAGACAGGUAUUCUCACAAGUAAUACCUACACCUCCACAAGUAUUCCCUGUGGGAUUCAAGUGGGUUUUCGUCCGAAAGCGGAACGAGAACAAUGAGGUGGUGAGAUACAAAGCGAGGCUUGUAGCACAAGGGUUCACGCAGAGACCCGGCAUUGACUUCAAUGAAACAUACUCUCCAGUCAUGGGUGGAAUAACAUUCCGAUACUUAAUCUCUCUGGCUGUACAAAAUCGUCUAUCUAUGCAGUUGAUGGACGUAGUGACUGCAUAUCUCUAUGGGUCACUCGAUUCGGACAUAUACAUGAAGGUUCCUGACGGAAUCCCAAUACCGAAUCAAAACGCAAAUCGCAACAUGUAUUGUGUAAAGCUACAGAAAUCACUCUAUGGCUUAAAGCAGUCGGGAAGAAUGUGGUAUAACCGACUCAGCGAGUACCUUCUGCAGAAGGGCUACUCCAACAGUGAUGAUUGCCCAUGUGUCUUCAUCAAGAAAUCCCAAAUGGGAUUCUGCAUCAUAUCGGUGUAUGUUGAUGAUUUAAAUAUCAUCGGCCACAAACAAGAUAUUGAUGAGGCAUGCAAACAUCUUAAGACGGAGUUCGAGUUGAAGGAUUUGGGUAAAACCAAAUUCUGCUUAGGCCUACAGCUUGAGCAUCUUUCAACUGGAAUCUUUGUGCAUCAAUCUGCAUAUGUCCAAAAAGUAUUGGAGAGAUUCAAUAUGGACAAAGCAUAUCCUUCCAAAACCCCUAUGGUUGUUCGGUCUUUGGGAUUAAACACUAAUCCAUUCAGACCACAAGAUGAGGGGGAGGAAAUCCUAGGACCUCAUGUCCCAUACCUUAGUGCCGUUGGAGCACUGAUGUACCUUGCCAAUAGCACCAGGCCUGACAUCGCUUUCGCAGUGAAUUUGCUAGCAAGGCACAGUGCCGCUCCUACCAAGAGACAUUGGACAGGAGUAAAACAGAUCCUCAGAUAUGUUAAUGGCACAAGGGAUCUCGGAUUAUUCUUCCAAAGAGGAACAAAUCCUGAGAUGAUAGGAUACACCGAUGCUGGAUAUCAAUCAGACCCCCAUAAUGGCAGAUCACAAACCGGUUUCGUAUUCUUACAAAACGGAACCGCCAUAUCAUGGACAUCAUCCAAGCAAACCUUGGCAACAACGUCCACGAAUCAUUCUGAAAUAGUCGCAUUAUAUGAGGCCUCACGUGAAUGCGUUUGGCUUCGCAGAAUGAUCAACCACAUACAGCAAUCGUGUGGUCUUAAAGCUAUCACAGCUCCAACCAUUAUCUAUGAAGAUAAUGCUGCUUGUGUUACACAGAUGGAGACAGGCUAUAUCAAGAGCAAUAUCAACAAACACAUCUCUCCAAAGUUGUUCUAUCCUCAUGAAUUACAACAAAAAGGAGAGAUUGAUAUCUUGAAAACCAAAUCAUGCGACAAUCUCGCUGACCUAUUCACUAAGUCCCUACCAGCUUCCUCAUUUGAAAAAUGUGUCAAAGGAAUUGGUAUGCGACGACUUAGGGAUUUGCAAAGUUCAGGGGGAGAAAUCUCCUAGACAUUGGUCUGUCUACACCAUCGUAUUACACUCUUUUCUCUCUAUGAGUUUUUCCUCACAAGGUUUCUCAUAAGGAGUUUUUAAUGAGAUAAUGUUAACACAAGAGUGUCAUAUUCCUUGUUUUCCCCACAGGGGUUUUUAAAGGAGUAUCAAAGACACAUAUUGUCCUCUAAACUACAACAUGAGAUUUCUCCUGCAAAGGUUUUCUCAUAUUAGUUUACAAUGAGGCAAUCAUUAAGUGCUAUAACUUUCUCCUUCUUUUCCCAAGCGGUUUUAAGGAGUUUUACCAUAGCACAUAUACACACGUAUUUUUCCUCGUUUUUAUCCUACAGGAAUUUUUGGAGGAGCAAUACGAUUCAUUGAUCUCAACAAGUGAUUCGAUCAAGGAGGAGUGUUACGGAUAUUUUCCGGGGUGAUCUCAUCUCCUUGGAUUCCCUUUACGGGAGAUCUAUCCUAACUACGACUUCCCCCACGACGGCCUACGGGAUAUCACCCACGACUACGCACGUACCCGUGGAGACCGGUUCCACCUCCGUGAUAUCACCCACGACUCAUCGUGGGCACGAGUUUACUUGGGGCGAGAGUUUCCUCUCCCCCCCCCCGACUGUAUAAAUACCCGUAAUCAAUGAAUAAACAGACACCCCGAGUUCAUUCUAUUCCUCUCUGUUCUCGUACUCUCGCUUUCUACUCGUAACAGCUGCGAGCAAGAGCUUGAGGUGACCAUCUCCUCGACAUAAACCUAUCUUUUUUUUUGCUUGUAUGUGUGUUUUCUUGUAUUUAGAACUUCGUGACAAAUCACUAGGUAAUGUUAAGUUGAUACACCAUAUGCAUCCUCAAAACCCUUGCACUGUGCGUGCUACAUGUCAACAAGAUUUGCAUAGCAUAAAAAACUUUUAUAUAACAUAUAAAAUGUAUUUUGGUCCCAUGUCUAAAGUUUAUCCAUUAAAUUUUACUCACUCUGUCCUAUUCUCAUUUUCUGAUAAACAACUUUGACUAAAUAUAUAUAUUAAAAAAUAUUAAUACUUGAUACAUAAUUAGUAUCAUCGGAAAGGUCUUUAAUCUAGUUUUUUUAAUAAAUUUAUUUCAGAAAACAAUAUUACUUAUGUACAUAAUUAGUAUCAUCGGAAAGAUAUUUGAGUCUAGUUUUUUAACAAAUUUAUUUUGAGAAAUAAAUAUUGUACGUAUUUUUUGAUAAAUCUAGUUAAAUUUGUGACACAAAAACUUAAAAUAAUAGAUAUUUUGGAACGGAGGAAGUAGACCAUUUUAGUUUUUGUCCCUUCAAACCCCAUACAUUAUGGCCUUGUCUAGUUGGCAAAAUUUUUAGAUUUUGGAUACUGUAGCACUAUCGUUUGUUUGUGGUAAAUAUUGUCCAAUCAUAGACUAAUUAGGAUCAAAAGAUUCAUCUCGUGAUUUACAGACAAACUGUAUAAUUAGUUUUUGUUUUCGUCUAAAUUUAAUAUUUCAUGUAUGUGCUGCAAAAUUCGAUGUGACAAGAAAUCUUGAAAUUUUUUGCCCAUAGAGAUUGUGCAUGUUCCUUUAUCGGAGCCGGUGUACGAGGUCAUUGAUGUACUGGCAGGACAGGUUUAUGUUUGGUUCAUUGUGGGCACAUUCAAUUCGUUUGUUUCGGCAUCAUCAAAGCGUGAUUUUCCUAUGUUUUGUGGUGUGUAGGAUUAAGUUGUAUGAUCUUAAACACUUACUCUGGUGUGUGGCGCGAAGCUGGUUUUUCAAGUAACGGUGUUAUGAGGAGGCUUUUGGUCCUAGGAGAGCCGUAGAUGAUGACUUAACUUUGGAUUGUGUGGUUGGAGUGUACAGUAUUUGUUCUAAUAAUAACCUCCAGAUGCCACCGGCGGAGGAUUCCUUUAAUGUUCCAAAGACAAACUGACGGAGCUCCAGGAGAAGGGCUCCGAUGGCCUCCAUUAUACAUAUUUGCCUAUCAAAGGAGGAAGCUCAAAGGUCUGUGCAUGUCUACAAUUUUUCAAACAAAAAAACACACACACGUCAUGAAGCAGCAUAUUCAAUGUAGAUAAAAUUCUAUGAAGCUGCUACAUAGACGUUUUUUAUGAUAUGGCAAUGUUUUUAGGAAGAAAGAGAUGAAACUCUCUUGACACGAUUUUACCAAGAAUCAUGAAAUUAAAUGUCUUUGAAACAAUAGAAUAAAACUAAUGAGGGUAUAUAUAUGUUUCAUCCAUGUUUCAUUAUAUUUUACAUAAUAUAACUGUCCUGAUCUAAGUAACAUAACUGCGCGCUUUGACAGAGAAACAACUCGAAAUAAGAUCCGAACAACUUCAAAAAGAACACCUAAAUCAAAGUUUCGAGAAUUUAAUUAACACAACCAAGAUUCAAUUGUGUUUGACAGCUGUUUUUUAAUGAUAGAAAGUGAAAACAAACAACUGAUCAAUCCCCUUUGAUAUAUUCAUUUCGUACUAGGAAGUAGGAACACACUUGAUGCAUACAUAUUUAUUUAUGCAACAGCGAUGCCAUUAUUUAGUGCAUAUAUAUAAGUUUAUAAGUAGGGAAGAAACACACGUACACAUCCAUGCAUUAUUCGUCAGAUACACGUACGGACAUGAAUACAUAUAUAACAUGUCCGACUUAUUCAUUUUACAGAAUAGAAUAUUCAGUUCUGGAGCAAGGAAGGAAUCAAAGCUAGCUAGGCAUCACCCAGCCUCUUAAUUAAUCAGCCGAUGUGGGGUGUCUGGGCGACGGUGUCGACGAAGAUACGCACGCGGCUGGGCACAAAAUCUGCGGUCACAAUCGUGCCGACGGGCAGCACGACGAUGUCGGCGUCAGGCUUGUCCUUGAGGAUCACCUUCUUUGCUUCCUCCACGCUCUUCCCGACCACCUCCGGCCACGACGUCUUGGCGCCGCCGCAAUCCGCCGCCGUCGCCGUGGAGCUCAUCGUCGUCGGUUGUCGGUCGCGAAUUGAAACUGCGAAAUCGUCAGUUGAUCGAUGACGAUGCAAAAAAGGAAACAGACUACUGCUACUGCAUUAUUGCAAAGAAAAACGUAAAGUAUAGAAAGGCACACUCACGUGCAACUGAUACGGUGCUUAUUGCUAUCUUGCUUCUUGUACUGCUGGUUAGAUCGA